AACGAACGCUGGCGGCAUGCCUAACACAUGCAAGUCGAACGAGACCUUCGGGUCUAGUGGCGCACGGGUGCGUAACGCGUGGGAACCUGCCCUUAGGUUCGGAAUAACUCCCCGAAAGGGGUGCUAAUACCGGAUAAUGUCUUCGGACCAAAGAUUUAUCGCCUUUGGAUGGGCCCGCGUUGGAUUAGCUAGUUGGUAGGGUAAAAGCCUACCAAGGCGACGAUCCAUAGCUGGUCUGAGAGGAUGAUCAGCCACACUGGGACUGAGACACGGCCCAGACGCCUAGGGGGGGCAGCGGGGGGGAAUAUUGGACAGGGGGCGAAAGCCUGAUCCGGCAGUGCCGGGUGGGGGAAGAAGGCUUUAGGGUUGAAAAGCUCUUUUACCCGGGAGGAUAAGGACGGAACCGGGAGAAAAGCCCCGGCCAACCUCCGG
RNAcentral lists this ribosomal RNA (432 nucleotides) under uncultured bacterium. RNAcentral's name for it is "partial 16S ribosomal RNA". It matches the Rfam family "Bacterial small subunit ribosomal RNA", at positions 29 to 507 of the family's 1533-position model. The record is from RNAcentral.